Molecule: RNA transcript, 3337 nt
Organism: Athalia rosae (coleseed sawfly)
Lineage: Eukaryota; Metazoa; Arthropoda; Insecta; Hymenoptera; Athaliidae
Gene: Dhap-at
Gene name: dihydroxyacetone phosphate acyltransferase
Exons: 13
Source: RefSeq, a predicted model, not a curated record
UCCUCCUUUUCUACAAUUUGAAGUUUUUCUUACACCACGCAACGAGAAAUCCAAUGGAGCAUAUGCAAUCAGUAUGGAAAGUACAGCAGCGACAAGCCAAAUAUCGCGUGAAAUAUUUCACGGAAAUGCGCUUAUACCACUGUGUUGAGAAUCGUGGAUAGCAGGCAGCACUAAUAUCACUAUUGGAUAUCAGUAGCGGGGAGGUAGAACGAAGAAAACAACACUCAAACCUAAAGGCUCCACGGAUAUGUAAAAACCAGCGUCUGAAAUAUUACACAUAACGCACCGCUGAGACAGUACAAUGAGGGAGUUCAAUGAAAUAAUGCCAAAUCUCAAGGAUGUGUCCUGGAGGCAAGAACCAAAAAUGUUUGUGGAUUUACUAGACGAGCGACGAAAUAAAAGUGAUGUAGCCUGGACAUUUCGUACAUUGAAUACAGUUGCUCCCCACAAAUUACCUACUGGUCGCCAAUAUUCUAUCCACCAAAUUAUCAAUGCUGUUCUCACAAAUCCAAGGGUGGUUCUUUUAACUGAAUCUCUGGCCUCACUUAGAAAUGUUCCCGUUGCCACCCUUAGAAAUGAAGCUCGUGAUAUGCUGAAUGAGAUGGCGGGUAGACCUCAGUUGCCAACCAUUCGUUGCCUAGGUGUACUGGUGACGAAAGCCUUGAAACGUAUUUUAAAGCGUGUCUGCAUAAACCAGAGUUACUUGCUGGAGCUAAAAAUGCAAAUGGGUAUCGAAGGGGUGCAAUAUGUUUACGUUCCAACCCAUAGAAGUUAUUUGGACUUUAUACUUGUGUCAUACGCACUUUUUGCGAAUGAUAUGGCCAUACCAAACAUUGCUAGCGGCAUGGAUUUUUAUAAAAUGAGUGUAGUAGGAGAGUUAUUACGGAAAAGCGGAGCUUUUUAUAUGCGCCGCAGUUUCGCCACUGACCAGUUGUAUAAAGAAGUAUUUCGAGCCUACAUAUCUUGUCUGGUCGCCCAUAGUGAAAGGGCUAUAGAGUUUUUCAUUGAAGGUACACGUAGCAGAGGUCAGAAAAGUCUUGCACCAAAGUACGGUUUAUUGUCGAUGAUAUUAGAGGGAUUAUGGAAAGGUGAUGUGGCAGACAUUCGAUUUGUUCCUAUAAGUAUUACCUAUGAUCGACCAUUGGAAGAGUUGCUAUUUGCAUAUGAACUUCUGGGAGUACCUAAGCCCCCUGAAUCUACUAGAGGGCUUUUCAAGUCUUUGUCAAUUUUACAGGAGCCAUGUGCCUAUGGAAAUGUGUAUAUGAACGUAGCACCGCCUAUUUCAGCUCGUCAGUUUUUCGACCUCGAUACCUUAAGUAAAGGAUGCUUAUCUCCACAUUCCAAAAUACCAUCCAAGGUCCUUACAAAAUUGGCUUAUGCGAUCAUAGAUAGCCACAAGGAUCACACACCACUUGCACCAUUUAAUCUCAUAGCCCUGCUAUUCAAUGAAAGGGUACAUACACAUCCCAGAAGACCUUACAACCUUCAAACUUUAUUAACUGAUUAUCGUUGGCUCAAGGAGUUUUUUUCUCGUGCAAUGAAUUGUCUGAUAAAUCCAGGAACAAGUAGACCUGGAAGCUUACAAAUUGACGAAGAUGUAAAAAAUGAAGUAUUGGAAUCUCUGUUCAUACAUCGAGAGUUACUCCGUCUCGAUGCAAAUGGUGAAUUGAAGUUGAUAGAGAGGCACCAAAAUCAGCAAGCCUGUGAUCCCAAGAAAGUCAAGGGCCAUCCGCUUACCAAAGAGACUAUGCGUUUGGCUGUCUCAGCGAUCAAUAUAACAAUUUAUACAAAUCCAUCAAUGGCCUUUUUAAUCAAGCCAGCUUUUAUUGCAGUAUCUGUUAUUGAAUAUAGUAUUGCUAGAGGUUCAGUUUUUGCACGAUACAAACUUCUGAGGGAAUUGCUUUCUACCGAAUUCGCCUUUUGUUCAGGAGAUUCUUUAGCUAUAGCGGAAUGGGAAGAAGGCUUAGCACUUCUGGUAUCUGAGGAUUGCAUACGACUUGAAAAUAAUGUUCUGUUUAUGGGCAGUAAUACUAGACUCUUCUCUCUCUUGCAAAACCUUUUGUUGCCAUUUUUAGUCGCUUGCUAUGCCACGUGCGCUGUUCUUCACAAGUGGAACGAUGAAAUGGGUGAGGCAAGUGAACGAGCCAUUUUAAGGAACACGCAAAAAGAGGUGGAAUGGCAACUACUUCAAGGCAAUGAAAUGUUCAGGUAUCCUUAUGCCUUGAGUCUUGACCUGUAUGCCACAACUCUUGCCAGUUUAGUCUCUAUGGGGAUUGUUAGUUCGUCUGGAAGAUCACCUGAUACAACGUAUUCCUCAAACAAGAUACGUCUCCAUACAUUACUUGAAGAGCUAGAUAAUUUCAAAAUAAUUAGGCCUUCAGGAUCAUAUCUUGAUAUUGAUCUGUUGCCAGUUACUCCAGUUACUAUCAUCCCACAUGCAAAGUUGUGAUCUCGCCAUGUUGGUUGUAUUCUUUGUACAAUACGGAUAGGAUUGUUCUAUUCUUUUCAAAAUUUGAGUGUGGAAUGCAACUGAUGGUACCUACAGACGAAUUUCGAUGCUCAAUAUCCAGUCAAGAUUUAGAAAAUUGGACGUUUCAAAACUUGGCUAUCUUAAAAAUGUGCUGAUUUAUGGAUGACUAAUUGUGAGGAAUUUUUUUUCCUCCACUGGGUAUUGUCUCUAAUGUGAUAUGUCUCCAACCAAAAGAUAAUAAUCGAACGAGGAUGUCUUGAACUCUAUUGCAUCGAUUACACUAACGUUAUACCCAGUAAUUGCCUAUAAUCACUGAACUCUAUAAUACCACAGAAUAUUCUACCAGUCCUUAUUCUGUGAUAAUACUUAUACUGGAACGCUCGCGGACGUUUGUAGAAGAGAGAAACAGUGGAGUAGACGCACUUGUCUAAUGUUUUUUGGCAGUUUUAGGGGCGAUCAACACCAAAGACGAUAGUCUGUCAUCGCGAGAAAAUGCCAUUGCGAUUCGGUAUUGGUGGUCGUCAAAGCUUCUCGUAUGUACGUAGAUCCUUCUCCUCCGAAGCAGCGGCAGUUUGGCCGUAGCAUCUGAAGCGUCGUCACGUGUGGUCAGGAGCGACAUCGAUGGUAGCGCGUAGAUCCUUUAUAAAGAAGGAGAAAAAGCCAGAGAGCCGUGAGAGACGGAAAUAAAUACAUUGCGGCUUUCAAUCAGUCACUACGGCGGCUAAUUCGUCGCAGUACUCAUUCAACUUCCAACCACGAAAGGCAGGAGUUAUACAUGGCAUCGCACAAUUCGUUCACAGGUAUCCGAAGAUGCUGCCGCCGUAGCUGCUGUUUGACCGGACUCCCCCUGUUCAUCAGGGGGAGUCC